GUGCGAGGAGCGACGGCGAGGACCAUCGCGGCGGGACGGAAUCUCGCACCAGGCAGGGCACUGGGAUAACACCCGAACCCGAACGCGCGACCGACCCGUCGUGCGACGUUGCCAGUUGGGCCUUGGGCCCGUCGACCAACUCAAACAAAACAGCUCACUGACUCGCCUACUUGUUUUUGUGGUUAUUGCAGGAAUUGUAGGAGACAAAGUACCCACCGACACCGACUGAAUGGAGCCGCUCUCCCCCUCUUCAAAUAGGAAUUUUCAAUUGAUUAAAAAACUAAAUGUUCAAAAUGACUGAAGCACUUUUUUUAAAGAUUAAUGCUCAGUGCUGUUAUCUGUCAGAAUAAACUGUCACACUUACUAAAGCUCAACACUCCUAUGUAUCAACAAACUGUAAUUGUAUACUCUAAAUUAGUGCAAGGCAUAUCGUCCACAGAAAGUCACGUUUCUUCUCCCCAAUUUUUGCAACUGUGCAACGCAAAGAAAGUUGAACACUUGUCAGUGCUUGUCAUUAAAUCGUCAGAUGCCAAGGUCUUAGGUCAGAGCGAUACAGUCCCAUCUCUUAAGUUUGAUAAGUGCUCUGCUCCAGCCCGCAUUGCAUACCGUGUAGCGUAGCAUCUUAAAUGUUAAAAACAUUCCCUUCUUAAGUAAAACAUUUUUCUUUUUUUAAAGUAUACAGUCAUUGCAGUUUUAAGUCUGCUGGAAGAGUGGAUGAUUAGUUUUCAGAUGUCAGGCAAGGAGUAGGUAUAAAACUGAGAAGAUUUUAGAAAUGUGAAAAAUACUAUAAAAUUCUUUAAUAGAAUGAAUUGUAAGAAAUACAAAUAGUGGUAUACAUAAAUAAAAUGAACAGAAUACAGAGAUAAAACAGACUAUAAAAUAUUCAAGCACACUCCAUGUCUCUGAACGUUUCCCAAGAAAGACAGUGAAUCAAA
Long non-coding RNA from Frankliniella occidentalis (western flower thrips), 935 nucleotides. RefSeq lists it as uncharacterized. The transcript is spliced from 2 exons. Lineage: Eukaryota; Metazoa; Arthropoda; Insecta; Thysanoptera; Thripidae. The record is from RefSeq and is a predicted model, not a curated record.